AAUUACACAUGCAAGUAUCCCCAAGCCAGUGAGGAUGCCCUUCAAAUCGAUUCCGAUGAAAAGGAGUGGGUAUCAAGUUCACACAAAAGUAGCUCAUAACACCUCGUAAAACCACACCCCCACGGGUAACAGCAGUGAUAAAAAUUAAGCUAUGAACGAAAGUUCGACUUAGUCAUGCAAUACAACUAGGGUUGGUAAAUCUCGUGCCAGCCACCGCGGUCAUACGAUUAACCCGAAUUAAUAAACAAUCGGCGUAAAGAAUGUUUAAGAUUAUAAACAAAACUAAGAUUAAAUCUUGUCUAUGUCGUAAAAAAUUAUAGACAAGCCGAAACUCAAUAAACGCAAGUAAUCUUAUAAUAUCUGAACACAUGACAGCUUGGGUACAAAGCUAGGCCGUAAACGCAAAAUAUUAAAUAUAACAAAAAAUUUCGCCCAGAGACUACUAGCCACGGCUAAAAACUCAAAGGACUUGGCGGUGCUUUACAUCCACCUAGAGGAGCCUGUUCUGUAAUCGAUAAACCCCGAUAAACCUCACCACUUUUUGCUAAUUCAGCCUAUAUACCGCCAUCUUCAGCGAACCUUAACAAAGUAAAAAAGUGAGCAUAAUCACAAACAUAAAGACGUUAGGUCAAGGUGUAGCCAAUAAAGUGGGAAGUAAUGGGCUACAUUUUCUUGACAAAGAACAUUUAAACGAAAGCUAUUAUGAAAUUUGAUAGC
This 717-nucleotide ribosomal RNA is filed under the name Fukomys mechowii (Mechow's mole rat). RNAcentral describes it as "partial 12S ribosomal RNA". Lineage: Eukaryota; Metazoa; Chordata; Mammalia; Rodentia; Bathyergidae. The record is from RNAcentral.